RNAcentral lists this long non-coding RNA (453 nucleotides) under Marmota monax (woodchuck). The record is from RNAcentral. Lineage: Eukaryota; Metazoa; Chordata; Mammalia; Rodentia; Sciuridae.
CCCUUCCUCUACUGUUUUCCCUUCUAUUUUUGUGAGAUACUUCCCUUCCCCCCUUUCUCUCUCUCUCUCUCUCUCUCUCUCUCUCCUGUCCACAUAUGAGAAAACACAUUUGAACUUUGACUUCCAUCCCAGCAUUUCUGCCCAAGGGCUCCAGCAGCCUAAGUGUUCUCGGGGCCUCUCGUCAAGGCCUCUUCCUCCUAGGUCUCCUUGGGUUCCCUCAGGUCUCGCUUUACUCCACAGUUCAGGGGCCCAGGCCACCCGCGUGCUCAUAGCCUCUCAAGGCCAAGCCGACAGUCCUACCCAAAGCCUUGACACAGCAGGGACCAGGCAGGGAGGUGGGAAAGGGACACCCCUGCAGGAUCUGAGGGGUGUUGCUCUUGCGCUUGUCUCCCUCCUGGGAAUCAGGUUCAGAAGCUCAUCCCACAGGAACGCCAAAGUCCAGGGACAGUGUCC